This 197-nucleotide microRNA precursor is filed under the name Setaria italica (foxtail millet). Its description in RNAcentral is "MIR1435 microRNA precursor family". It matches the Rfam family "MIR1435 microRNA precursor family". RNAcentral also lists the same sequence under 1 other name. Lineage: Eukaryota; Viridiplantae; Streptophyta; Magnoliopsida; Poales; Poaceae. The record is from Rfam by way of RNAcentral.
UCUAGUUGUCCGAAGUCAAAAUUUUCUAACUUUGAGAUUUAUAGAAAAAUAUAUUAAUAUCCACAAUAUCAAAUAAAUGCAUUAUCAGGACAUAUUUUAUGAUGGUUUUAACUAAAUUAAUUUGGUGUUGUAGAUGUUGAUGUGAUUUUCAAUAAACUUGGUCAAAGUUAGAGAAGUUUGACUUAGCACAAAACUAA